Molecule: ribosomal RNA, 1285 nt
Filed under: Archotermopsis wroughtoni
Lineage: Eukaryota; Metazoa; Arthropoda; Insecta; Blattodea; Termopsidae
Description: 16S ribosomal RNA
Rfam family: Archaeal large subunit ribosomal RNA (bases 1038-1199)
Source: RNAcentral
GUAAUUUAUUUUUUUUUGUUGUUUUCUUUUAUUUUCUCUAAAAUAUUUUGUUGUCAUUGUAUACUUUUUUGAUUUGAUUUUUUUUAUUAUAGUUUACUUGUACUGUGGGGGUUUAUUUUUUUUUUUUGUGAAGUUGAUUUUGUUUAUUGUACCUUGUGUAUCAGGGCUUACUAAAUUUUGUUAUUUAUUUUUAUUUCCCGAUUUUUGAUGAGCUAUUUAUUUAUGUCAGUUGCUGUUGUAAAAGCAUUGAUAAUAUUUUGUUGGUGGUGAUAUGUCAUUCGUAUCUUAUGGUAUCUGGUUCUCUGGGAAAUGAAUUUAAUUCAUGUAUUUUAUUUAAAGCUUCUUUUUUUUUAGUUUGUUUUAAUUUUUUGCAAGUGUUUUGGGGGCUUAGCUUUGAAUCAUAUUUUUAUAAUUUUUUUUUCUUAUUUAUUUUAGUGGGUCUUAUGGUGGCUUUCUUUUUAAGUGUGUUCAAAUUUUACUUUUUGGUUUUUUUCUUUUUGUGUUAUUUAAUUUUUUACUGGGGCUUUUGACUUAAUUUUUUCUUUUUUGUGAUAAUGGUGAGAUUAGUAUAUUUUUCUUUGUUUUGUUUUUUUAUUAUUUAUUUUUUUUUAAGGAAUUCGGCAAUUUUUAUGUCCGCCUGUUUAUCAAAAACAACUUCUCUUGCGAUUAUUUGAGGUAUGACCUGCCCGCUGAUUUUUUUUUGAAGGGCCGCGGUAUUUUGACCGUGCAAAGGUAGCAUAAUCAUUAGUCUUUUAAUUGUGGGCUGGAAUGAAUGGUUUGACGAGACGUUAGCUGUCUCUUUUUAAUUUAUUGAAUUUGGGUUUUAGGUAAAAAUACCUAAAUGUAUUUAUGGGACGAGAAGACCCUAUAGAGUUUUAUAUUAUUGGGAAUGUGAUUAAUGUUUUGUUUGGUUGUUUUAUUUUUUGUUUUAUUUUGUUGGGGCGAUUAGGAGAUUUAACUAACUCUUCUUUUUUUUUUCUAUUUAUUUGUAUUUUUUUGAUCCUUUAUUAUUGAUUUUAAGUUUAAAUUACCUUAGGGAUAACAGCGUUAUCUUCCCUGAAAGUUCUUAUUGACGGGCGGGUUUGCGACCUCGAUGUUGGAUUAGGGUGAAUUUAUGGUGUAGAAGCUUUAAUUUGAUUAGGUCUGUUCGACCUUUAAAACCUUACAUGAUCUGAGUUCAGACCGGUGUGAGCCAGGUUGGUUUCUAUCUAUAAUUGGUUUUUGUGAAUUAGUACGAAAGGACCAUUUACAAGGAAUAAUUUUUUGUCUUUGAUUUUCAUUAAUU